This 405-nucleotide ribosomal RNA is filed under the name uncultured bacterium. Its description in RNAcentral is "partial 16S ribosomal RNA". It matches the Rfam family "Bacterial small subunit ribosomal RNA", at positions 30 to 526 of the family's 1533-position model. The record is from RNAcentral.
AUUGAACGCUGGCGGCAUGCUUUACACAUGCAAGUCGAACGAGUGGCGGACGGGUGAGUAAUGUAUCGGAACGUGCCCGGUGGCGGGGGAUAACUACUCGAAACAGUGGCUAAUACCGCAUACUAUUGGAUGGGCCGAUAUCGGAUUAGCUAGUUGGUGGGGUAAAGGCUCACCAAGGCAACGAUCCGUAGCUGGUUUGAGAGGAUGACCAGCCACACUGGAACUGAGACACGGCCCAGACUCCUACGGGAGGCAGCAGUGGGGAAUUUUGGACAAUGGGGGAAAGCCUGAUCCAGCCAUCCCGCGUGUAUGAGAAGGCCUUCGGGUUGUAAAGUACUUUCGGCAGGGAGGCGUUACCCGCAGAAGAAGCACCGGCUAACUACGUGCCAGUAGCCGCGGUAAUUC